RNAcentral lists this ribosomal RNA (167 nucleotides) under Trechispora sp. RNAcentral describes it as "partial large subunit ribosomal RNA". It matches the Rfam family "Eukaryotic large subunit ribosomal RNA", at positions 99 to 261 of the family's 3401-position model. Lineage: Eukaryota; Fungi; Basidiomycota; Agaricomycetes; Trechisporales; Hydnodontaceae. The record is from RNAcentral.
CGGGAAAAGCUCAAAUUUGAAAUCUGGCGGCUCCGCCGUCCGAGUUGUAUUCUGGAGAAGCGUCUUCCGUGCCGGACCGUGUACAAGUCCCUUGGAACAGGGCGUCAUAGAGGGUGAGAAUCCCGUCUUUGACACGGACUGCCGGUGCUCUGUGAUGCGCUCUCGAA